GAUGAACGCUGGCGGUGUGCCUAAUACAUGCAAGUCGAGCGAACAGACGAGAAGCUUGCUCCUCUGCCGGUAGCGGCGGACGGGUGAGUAACACGUGGAUAACCUACCUCUAAUACUGGGGUAACUUCGUGAAACCGGAGCUAAUACCGGCGCAUAUAUUGAACCGCAGGGUUCAAUAGUGAAUCACGGUUUUGCCGUCACUUUUAGAUGGAUCCGGGUCGCAUUAGCUAGUUGGUAAGGUAACGGCUUACCAAGGCUACGAUGCGUAGCCGACCUGAGAGGGUGAUCGGCCACACUGGAACUGAGACACGGUCCAGACUCCUACGGGAGGCAGCAGUAGGGAAUCUUCCGCAAUGGGCGAAAGCUUGACGGAGCAACGCCGCGUGAGUGAUGAAGGUCUUCGGAUCGUAAAACUCUGUUAUUAGGGAAGAACAGAUGUGUAAGUAACUCUGCACGUCUUGACGGUACCUAAUCAGAAAGCAACGGCUAACUACGUG
This 497-nucleotide ribosomal RNA is filed under the name uncultured bacterium. RNAcentral's name for it is "partial 16S ribosomal RNA". It matches the Rfam family "Bacterial small subunit ribosomal RNA", at positions 28 to 507 of the family's 1533-position model. The record is from RNAcentral.